RNAcentral lists this long non-coding RNA (311 nucleotides) under Ananas comosus (pineapple). RNAcentral describes it as "long non-coding RNA (ACOM_LNC010550)". Lineage: Eukaryota; Viridiplantae; Streptophyta; Magnoliopsida; Poales; Bromeliaceae. The record is from RNAcentral.
GAACUUCCGUGCUUGUAAGUUGUUUUCGACGAUAGAAUAUCCGAUUCGACGAUCGGCUCCGUUAGGUAUAAUCUACCAUAUUGGAACUAUCUAGAAACCAAAUUUUAUAAUUUUUUGACAUCAUUUACUAAGCCAUCGAAAGGUCCCAAAAAUGACUAUUUUAACGGCCGAUGCGGCACGUUUUUAAGUUCAACGGUGUAGAAGUAUCCAAAUUACAUGAAAAUUUAAUAGAAAAUUCUACUUAAUGUCAAUAGCAAGAUCAAUACUUCCGAUUUGGAAUUUGAGUCCUUUAUCAUUAUUUUUUAUGAGAU